CCACCAACAUCCUCUGGGCUUGUUUCAGUCCUCACCUUAAUUUUUACACAGGAGAAUGUUAUAUUAUGAUCAGGAGAAUAUGUUGAUCUCAUAGCUUCCAAAUUGAGCUAUAAAGAGUUAGACUGGAGAUAAAUUCAAUAUCAAAGGUGAGUACCAGAAUGACAGAUUUUCCUUGUGCAUGCCAUGCUUCAGCAUCGUCAGCUGUGAAGACAAUCUGGCCUACAGCAGCUCCUGGUGAUGCAGGCAAGCCUGUAGCAAUAACUUUGUCUCCAUAUGACGACGGGCUCUCAAACUAGUUUAACAAGGGCAGAGCAAAGAGUACAGAUUAGAUAGCCAUCAGUUUGAUUGUCGUUACAAAUCGUACCGAAGCGUAACAAAAGUACUAUGCAACAACCUUCAGGCUCAUAUUGGUUUAGAGGAAAACAUAUAAACAUACACUCGCUACAUGCUUCAUGUUUGUGAAACAAAAAAACAACAGCACGUGCUAUGUCAAGUUUCUAGUUAGGGACAUGAAAACAUGAUAUACCGAUAGACUAACAAGUUACACAUUCAUUCAAUAAUAGGUUAUGAUCUAUCAUCCAAAAUAUAAACCACCACUUUUUGCAAAGUCCUAUUCGAUCUUGUUGAUGGGAUCUGAAAUAAAGCUUGGCAACAGAGUGCCCUCAAGAAAAUAGCAGUGUACAAAGUUUGCAAUGCAACAGAUAAGACAAGUGUUGCAUAGUUAAUUGUACCUGGGGAUGAAGAAGCUGGUCCAAGUGCCGUGGUUCCACCAUCUUAAUUGCUGAACGCCGGUCAAUCAGUCCCUCAUUGACCAUGUCUACAGCAAUCUUCACAGCACCUUUGCCUGUGCGCUUCCCUGUUCUGCAUUGCAGCAUCCAAAGUCUAUUUUCUUGAACAGUGAACUCAAUAUCCUGCAUGACAUGAAAAAAUAAGUUAAUUUGAGCACAAGCAAAAAUCAGUUACAAGAGAAACAGUGAACUCAUUAUAAAAAUGCUUGUCUAUAAUAUCAGUCACAUGAAAACCAAUCUUGUUUCAUGGAAAGCACAGAAAACAGUUCUGAUAAGUUCGUUGUAAUUCUGUAGUCUUCCUAGUUACAUUGCCAAUAAGUUCAUUGUAAUUUUGAAAACAGUUCUGACAACAGGCAACUCCCUGUAAUUAAAUUUUUAUUUUAAAAACUAUUUGUAAUCAAAUCUAUCCAUCAUUAUAGAUAACUUUUAAAAACAUGGUAUUUUGAUUCUGCUCUAAUCAUACAAAAGAUACUAGGAUACGAUGGCCAAGAAGAGGAACUAUGUAUUCUCAUGUACUGUACCAUCAUUUCUUUGUAGUGGCUUUCCAAGAUUUUGCAAUUCUCAACUAGUUCUGCAUAAGGCUCUGGCAUGCAAUCCUUCAUGGUAUCAAGAUCUUGUGGAGUUCUGAUUCCAGCAACCACAUCCUCACCCUACAAGAGAAAUAAUUUGUGUUAAUUGCUCAUAAUCCAUUUAUCUAUCAACCCAAGAAAUACAUAAGAUGAUUCAGUCGAAACAUUUUUGCCUUUUGCAACCUUUGAUUCUAAAGGAUAAAAUCUAAAAUAUGUGCUCCCUAUUUUACAGUAACCAUGACGAAUCAGACUAAAAGUAACAACAUAAAUAUGAAAAGAUCAUGUGAUAGCUGAUUAACCCAUCUUGUUACUUCAGUGUUUGCCAGAAUUUUUUUUUUUUGGAAACUGAAUGUUUGCUAGAAAUAGGGGUCAAGGAAUAAGCAAAACAGAGAAGGGGUCGGACCAGUUACCCUGUAUAUUUGUACCUGAGCAUUGACAAGGAAUUCACCAUAAAGUUUUCUCUCUCCAGUACUAGGGUUCCUAGUAAAGAGAACACCAGUGCCUGAAGUGUCACCCAUGUUGCCAAAGACCAUGCACUGAACAUUCACAGCAGUACCCUUUAACCCAGUGAUCUGGUUAAUGCUUCUGUACUUCUUUGCCCUUGCGCUGUCCCAUGAGUUGAAAACAGCCAACACAGAUAAAUGCAGCUGCUUCUUUGGAUCUACAUUUAUUUAGAAGAAAAAGAAAAUCAGAUACAUCUGCUUUCAAGAUACAAGCAUCACCAAAUAAAACGGAUGAUAAAAUUUAACUUUGAUUGUGUAUAUAUAUGAAUAUACGUACCUGAGGGAAAUUCUUCACCUUUGGCCUCCACAUAAACAUUCUUAUAUUGAGCAACAAGUUCUUUCAAAUCCCUGGCAGUCAACUCGGUGUCAUUCCUCAAACCUAAAGCUGCUUUCAUGGCUUCAAUUUUCUCCUCAAAUAGUGAAUGCGGUAUGUCCAUAACCUAAUAAGAUAACCUUUUAGUAUCAAAAUAUUGAAUUUGGUACAAAAUAAAAUUGCGAAACAAAUUUUAUCAAUAUUCAUAUUAGCGAGCAUACGAAGUAACUCACAAAUUGUACAGAAUGUUUCAUUAUCGAAAACUAAACUAAACUAGAUUAUUUAUUUAUGCCAGUUUUUCAUAGUUUUCCAACAUGAAAAUUAAAUCAAACCCCCAAAAUAGAAAUGUAGAAUUACAGCAGUAGAAAGAUCUGGCUAAGAAAGAACAGAAGGACCUCGGGCGUGGCCCCAAAUGCGUCGCGCCGCCGCCGUACGCCGGUUCAGCGCACGCGGUUCGCCAUGUCCGGGGAUGCCACCCCCAUGGACAAGGUGCUGCUGCCCCGACCGCCCCUCCUCCUCCAGAGCGACACAUUGCCCCUCCGGUGACACAGCCAAGGAGGUCGCGCCAGGCGGCCGGCUCGCUCGCCGGAGUUGUGGCAAUCGAGAGGCCGCGAAAAAAAUCGGACAUGAAGAGAAAAUGAGAAGGAAAUUUUCCGAGCAAAAGGAGAAGGGAACAAGAACAACUGGAGAAGGGAGGAGAACUGGACAAGGCAAUAAAUUAAUGGGCCAGGAUGGGCUGGGCCGGCUAUCACCUAGUUUUGGCCCACAAAUACUGGGCGUACUCUUUUUAUAUUUGUUUCCCUCUAAAAACAGAGUACUCAACUUCUACAAAUAUUUUCUUUGAUACUUAUCUGUUUAGAAAUGAAAAUAAAAUAACAUGUAUAUAUACAACAGAAACAUGGAAUAAUACUAGUAAAUAAAUCAAUAAAUAAACCAGUAUGUAUAGAUAUUUGUAGAACACAAAAAAGAGAAUAUAAGUAAUAAUACGUACGACGUUGCCGAACAUGUCGAGGAAGCGGCGGUAGGAGUCGUAGGCGAAGCGCUCGCCGCUGCGGUGGGCGAGGCCGGCGACGACGUGGUCGUUGAGGCCGAGGUUGAGGACGGUGUCCAUCAUGCCGGGCAUGGAGACGGCGGCGCCGGAGCGGACGGAGAGGAGGAGCGGGCGGCGCGGGUCGCCGAGGACGGCGCCCAUGUUGCCCUCCACCCAGGUGAGCGCCGCCAGGAUCUCGUCCCACAGCCCCGCCGGCAUCGCCUUCUGCGCCUGGUACUGCUGGCACGCCUCCGUCGACACCGUGAACCCCGGCGGCACCGACAGCCCGAUGCUCGCCAUCUCCGCCAAGUUCGCCCCCUUCCCUCCCAGCUGCACAUCCAAUUUUAUCCAUGCAAUUUACAUAUAUAUGUUCAUAUACAAAUUACCAGUACAUGAUGAAUGAAGUAGUACAUAUAUGCACGCACCAGGUCUUUCAUGGUCUUGUUGCCGUCGCUCCGGCCCUUGCCGAAGUGGAACACCCUCUGCCCCACCGCCUCCGCCGCGCCAUCCCGAUGAGCGGCCGGCGCCAUUGAUGACGAUGGUUCACUCUGAUCUUCUCUUAAAUUAGCUUCCUUCUGCUUGAUACUGGCACUCAGUCUCAGCUAGCUUUCAGCUUUCCGAGCUCGCUCGACGGGGCAGUGGCACGUAUAUAUACACACACUACAACACGAGUCUAGGAGUAGGUGGUGGCAGCCAGCCAGCCAGCCAGCCAACGCCGUCAAGUAACCGACCGCCCUGCAAGAAGUCGAUUUUUUUUUAUUUUUUUUUGUUUACAGAGGAGGAGUAUCUGUGUACUAGGAGGGAGACCGCAGGCGGCGCUGAUACGUGACUUGGGGCGCACUUAGGAUCAAUGGAUGGAUGUGAUAACUGCAUGCACGACCCCACGACAUCGACCGCUGCCGCCAACCAAAUUAACCCUUACUUAAUCUCGAUCGACCAUCAGCUGACAGCACCGGUGUGCUAGUUCAAUUACUUCAUCAAUAUAUGGUGAAAGCUAAUUAACCCAUGUCCAAUUGUCCAUGUAGUGGUGGACUCGAUAAUGCGGCAGAUUAGCAUGCAGCUGCAUCCUGUAUAUGUCUAGUGGUAGUAGUAUACAUACUACAUUAUUAUGCUCACUAGCUAGACUGCUGCAUGCACCAGUGGAUGCACGCAUUCAUACAUGUUCAAUUGUUCAGUUGAACCGUUACUCUGACACUAACUAGCUACUAUUCUGAACAUUUUGCAGGUGAUCAAGAGAUCGAUCGGUGGUGUGCUGGUGUACUGCUUGCCAAGACGCUACUUUGCUCGAUCAGCGCUCUCUCUCUCUCUCUCUCACUCUCAUCCAUGCAUGCAUGUAGCUAGGCAUGCAUUUUCACGUACCAAUCGAUCGAUCGGUUUGUCGAUCGAUUUUUUUCCGCUUGGAAUUAAUUCAGCAAGCUGGGCCGCUUAAUUAUAUUAUUUCGCAUGUGAUAUAUAAAAUGGCUGUUUGUCGAUGGAUAUGCAUGUUAAAUCAGAUGUGUUCUUCGUUUGCGAUCAUUAAUAUAUACUAUCAAGUUAGAGUGAAUUAACUAGUUCAUACCUGUUGUUAUUUGUUAUUUGGUCCAGAACUGCGACUGGAAAUGGGGCGCCUCGGCCAUAUACCGUACGUGCAUAUUAAGACAAUGCUGGAAUCACAAAUCGAUGAGGACUAUAUAUGUACUAUGUGGAGAACUCUGUUAUCUUGCAUGCAGUAUGAAGUAUCCAUUAUUAAAUAAAAAUUCAUACAGCACCGUACUGAAUUAUUAAUUUGUUCAACCAAAAUCCAUUCCUCUAGCUACACACCUCCGUGUUUGACAAAGAACAACUUUAUAAUUUUACUCAAUCAAUGAUUAUUUCAUUAAAAAUAUAUGCGUUAAUAAACUCAUGUAUUCAACUUUAAUUAAUUUGGAACACAACUGUUUGGUUAGGUCUUGACUUUCAUUUUAAGCUAAAGCUUGAGGCUAAAACAAUAGGGUAAUUUUUCUAUAAACAGGCUCGCACAAUUAAACAACGUCGAUCGAAUGCUCAGAGACUACGUACGCGUGCAUGAUAUGCAUAUAUUGAUCGAGAGUAGCGGUGUAGCGUAGCAAUUAGGUUUGGGAUAAGAAGGGGUUAAUAGUAGAGUAGUGAGGCCGGCCGGCAUGCAGAGCCGCGGUUUGGGCGUCCAGCGGCCGUGCUACUGCUAUCGACGACUCGCGCCGCUGAUAUGAUGCACGCGCUACGGAUAAGCUCUAGCCUGUGCUGGAUGCGGUCAUCAGGCAGGGUUUUUGGGGGGCCCGGGGGGGUGUGACGUGGGCGUCGACCACAACCACAACCACACGAUCGAUCUAUCCGGCCGCCGCAUGCGCAUGCGGGCCACAUGCCCCGCGACGUGCCAAUCGAUCGCUGACAAAAGAGGAGCGCGCGCCGUCGGAUCAGUUAAUCUAUUUAAUUAACUCCAUCCAUCUUCUUAACACAAGUCGGUUUUGCUUUGAAUUAGGUUGCUAAUUAAUUAAUUGGACUAAUUAACCAAGAUGGUGACGUUACCAGCUGCAAGUAUAUCAUCCUGUCACGGUCCUCUCCGAGGUAACCAAAGGGCCGGGUAUGUGACACUGUCUUUUUUUCUCUUUAAUUUAAUUAAUUUUUGCCUCGCUCUAGUACAUAUAAUUAGAUCGCUGGUUAAUUAGUGACAUGAAGAAGAUAUUCAUUUUACCGCUUAACAGCUAAGCUUUGGCGGCACGCGCCGGCCGCGGCCUGGUAUACCCGGUUACCAUGGCGCGUCGCUGUCCCGGCUAACGCCCGGUUACUGUCGCUAUCGCGUACGGCGCCGAAACGCGCCCGCGGAUGAGGCAGCGCCGCUGCACGGUUUGCACGAACCAAACCGGUACUACUAGGCACUAGCACCAGUAAGGAUAUAUAUACACUAGUAUAUAGUUACAAAUGUGUGUUUAAUCUUACACUGGCUGUGUCGUGUCAGUAGAUUAUUGAAUGAAACGAGAGGAUGGGAUCGGACGACGCAGGGGGCACGCAAAGCUAUAUACUACCUCCGUCCCAAAAUACUUGUCGCUUUAAGUUUUUAUUUAUAAAGUUUAAUCAUUCGUCUUAUUAAAAAGAUUAUGAAAAUAUUAUUAUUUUUAUUUGCGGCUUGCUUCAUUAUUAUAAGUACUUUAAGUAUCUCUUUUCUUUUUUUUAUAUUUGCACUAUUUCUUCAAAUAAAACGAAUGGUUAAAUGUUACAAGAAAAAAAUCAAAGCGACACAACUAAUUUAGAAGGGAGGUAGUGUGUGUCUAUAUAUAUAUAUAUAUAUAUAUAUAUAUAUAUAUAUAUAUAUGAAAUCCUGUGUGCAGGCUGUUACGAAACCUGGGGCAGAUCUAGCAUUUUGAUCGAUAGUGUCACCGUCAACUUUUGGUUACGAUUAUGGCUUUCAACUAAUGAUGAUACGUAUCAAAACAAUAAAAAACAUCAAUGAUACAUCAACAUCGACAACGAGAAAUUAUGCUAAUAAUUAAUGAGUUUAUCAAUCUCAAUAUAUGACUCAUAAUGUUGACAUGUAAUUUUUUUACGCAUUCGCAAAAAAAUCUCAAUAUAUGAUGUCUCGGUAAUUUGAAGCUGCCGUGGAACCUGAAGAACACGAGGGAUCGAUGUCAAUUAGUUCGGAUAAGAGUACAGCUAGGGAUAUAUAUAUAAAAAAAAGGCAACAUUGGUUAUAUAUAGUACCAAAAGUUUAUGUUUUUUUAUAGCAUCGAAAAAUAUCGGUUGAUUUUAAUAGCACACAAAGUUUACCACAUUCCCAUUUUUAACACUUUCCGUCCGCCUUAAUCGCUAUUGACCCAACCACGCACAGGAUAUGAUGGUUCUACUCCUUACAAGUAUAAGUAGAAUACAUGGCAAUAAGAGGUAGAAACGUCAUAUUGCGUACGUGGUUAGAUCAAUAACUAUUAGCGUAGACGAAAAACGAUUGAGAAUUGAUAGAAGUGUUAAAGUGAACUGAUAUCUCUCAGUGUUAUAAAACCAAUUUUGCGAAGAAAAAAAAUAUAACAAAUACUGCCAUAAGUUAUUUGAGUGAAAAACUUUCUAAUCUAACUUAUAGUUGUAAUAUAAUUCUAUCAUAACUAUACUACAACUACAAUAUAACCUAUAUAUACUUAUAUAUAAGUAUUAAAAAUAUAUACAACUUUAUAUCUAAGUUAUAUAAAAAUUAGAAUAUAGUUACAUUGUAGUUACGGUAUAAUUACACUAACUUAUAUAGCUACAUGGUGUACUAACUAUAAAACUAGUUAGCCCAAUAAUGAUGAGGGUUCAGUGGAGAAGCAGAGGACGCGGGAUCGAUAGAUACCCCAGCCCAUGCCAUCUCAGUUAAUUUUUUCCCAAUCUAUCUACGCACAAAUCUCGGGAUAGAUCAACAGCCCAAAAAAACAAAAGAUUUAUAGCGAUUCCGAAAAGGGAUAUAAGUCCACUUUUACUCCCUCAACUAUACCUUCAUAUCCCUUUACCACAGUACCAUAUAUCUUCAUCCCUCAGCUAUUAAAGCCGGUGUAAUUUGACUCCCCAUACCUUGUUCAGUUAAUCCCCGUGAGGGAGGGAUUGGAGGGGAUUUAUUCCACACCUAUUGUGUGUGGAAUUAUUCCCUCUCUAUUCUCUCCAAUCCUCUUCAAUCCCCUUAGAACCAAACAAUCUGUGGGGCCCGUAUGUAAGUGGUUGUUUCCUCUGCUCCUCUCCUCUAUAUUUCCUCUAGCGGCGGCGAGGCGGCAGAAGGACGAUGGUACUGGGCGGCGGAGGUUGCCAUCGGCGUCCGAGAGGGGGCUGGGGGAUGGGUGUUGAUGCAGGGGCAAGCGACAGGUGGCAGUAGCCGGAGGGCGCAGCUUGGAACCGAGAGUAGCCAGGCACUUGCGGAUCCGGCGAAGGACGUGCGUCGCCUCCAAUCCCGUCAGCGUCGUGCCUACACAACACGCAGCGGAGGCGACACGGGCGGCACGUCAGGGCAGGGUGGCGUGCACUAGCCCGCGGAAGCCGUCGACCGUCCCUGUUGUGAUACGCGUAGGCUACGAUAGCAUAAAUCAAAAUUUUCUAUCGCGUAAACCAGGAACCAUGCAAGUAUUAGAUCAUAGAUCGUUACCACUCGACGCGCUGCGCAGCGGAAGAAGACGCUGAGAAGUCGAAGGAACUCUCGCGAAGUAGCGCGCGUCGAUGUAGAGGAAGUAGUCGAUCGCACCGGCUCGACCUUCUCCUCCUCGUGCGUUCUCCUCGUUGUACUCCCACGCCGAUCAGCACCGCAAACCAGUGGCGCCUCUACCGGUAUACACACGUACAGGGACGGAACGCCACGCGCAGAUGUGCUAGCACCCGCGCGCGGCUAGGGUUUUGCUCGGGGAGGGAAGUGACGGCUAGGGUUUCUCACGUGAUGCAAUGCCUUCGCUGGUCACACCCCUCGCGAAUAUAUAGGAUCCAUCACUCGGGCCUCCAAGGCCCGUAGGACUCCUAUUUGGAUCCCUAUCCGAAUUAAGCUCAUAUUGGAUCUCUAUCCAAUCCCCUUAUUCCGGCCCAUUAAGCGUGCGACCCUGUAGGUUCAUAUAUACUCGGCUGUAACCCGAAAACUCCUUUUCGGUCCACGCGUCAACAGCGGCCCCUAGUAGAACGUAUUGACCCACCGGGCAUACAUAAAGAUCAUAUCGGCUGAACCUCUAGUGUAUACUUGUAUGAAGCCAUUUGCCUCACGAUAUCGAUUAAGCUCAAGGCUAGAUAUGUACCAUCCUCUAAUAGCUCAAUCAUUCACUCGAACCUAUUGAUAUCUCUCCAUAGGAGGGGCAAAUCCCAUCUUGAUUAUUCAUAUCCCACUACAUGUUUUAUAGCAUACCCGAAAACUACUUUUAUAGCUACCCAUUUACGGAGUAGCGUUUAGCGGUCCCUAAGUAAACUACUACACAUGUUGAGAACCAUGAUAAUAUCAGGUCUAAGGAUUCAACACCAACACUAAAUGAGAUCACUGAUGACACAACACAUAUGGCUCUUGCAAUGUCUCAUGUUGGGUCUAUCCAACAACAUGUUCACCAACAUGUGUCCACAUUAUUAAUUUGAUAUCUCUAUACCAUGAUCCAUGAGACAUGAUCAUCAAUUAAUACAUGUGCUGAUCAUAUAAACAUAUUUGUUCCACUUAUGAUAUUUGAUCAGGGAUCCUUUAGAAAUAGUAACAAACAAGAUAAAGAGUCUCAUGAAAGAAUCACAUAUUCAUUAACCAAUAAGGAGUUAUCUAUUUCAAGGAACAAUGUCGGAUAAAUAUGUAAACAUAGUAUGUGAUACAAUCAUCUCUAUGAUUACCUCUAGGACAUAUCACUAACAGUCCCCCCCCCCCCAACCAUCCUCUCGUCGGAACCGUCACCGUGUGCUCGUCUGCCCAGUGCCCUGUCCCUCCAGCUGAAGUAGACCACUCCGGCGAUGACAAUAACGUGGAUUAGCUGGUGGCUUUGGCCGGUGAGGUCGAACUUCCCCUGCAUCUACCGCUCCGGCCAAUGCGCGACCUGGUGGCACGCCGCCGCCGCGAGCUCUGAUUCGACGGGCACGUUGCUUAGAGCCUGCACCGCCGCGACCGCCCCGGUGCUGCCGUAGCUCAUCAAUCAUCAUCAUCAAAUACCAUUGGGUUGGCGGAGUUGUUGGCCAUCGUCUUGGACGUCACCAAGCUAGCAGACAUGGAGGAUUCCAUGGAACCAUCGUGGCGGUGCACACGGUGAGCGCGAUGAACAUGAAGAAGCCGAUCGCCUGCCAAGAUACAGCAAAAAGAAAAGCACACUUGUCAAUCAAAACACACAACCUGUACUGUUACUGGUGAAGAAAUGAUUUGUACUCCCGAUUGGUAACCCUAGUCCCGGUUUUCCAACUAGUAGUACAAAUCCGGACUAAAGAUCGUUGUCCCGGUUCAAAUACCCGGGACUAAAGAUCUUUAGUCCCGGUUGGUAGUAAAGUUUUUUUUCUCUUUUUUUUUUGCUAUUUUGUAUACCUCACGUCCAUUAUCCCAAAUCAUUCACAGCAACAUAGGUCAUCCCAAAUCAUUCACAACAACAUAGUUCCUCCCAAAUCAUUCACAACAACAUUCAUAACAACAUAGUUCAUUCUCAACACAGAUCGAAUCAUACAUUCAACACAGACAACACAGAUCGAAUCAUUCAACACAAAGAAAGAAAAAAGAAAAAAAAAAUCCGUGCAGCCGCGCCAGCCUCCACCGCCUGCCGCCGCGUGGCCUUCCGCGCAAGCCGCCACCGGGCGCGGUCCUCCACACGAGGCCGCCGCCACUGCGCGAGGCCGCCUCCGCUUCCUGAGAAGUGGGGAGGAGAGGGGAGGGGGGCGGAUCCAGAGGAGGAAGAGGAAGAGAUGGGGUGAGUGAGGAGAGGAGAUAAAGGUGAGGGAGGAGGAGAUAGAACUUAUUAACUUAUCCCGUGCGCCUCCUCCUCCUCCUCGAUGUUGCGCGCACGCCUCAUCCUCUCCGCGCAUGCGGAUCUUUUUUUUCCUGGUUGUUUAACAACCGGAACUAGAAAUAGCUCUUUAGUCCAACCGGGAUUAAAGGUAAAGGAGGGGUCUGACACCGCCUACCUUUUUUGAACUAGGAUUAAAGAUUAAAAAGUAGCUCUAACCUUUUGAAUCGGGACUAAAGAUGUUUUUUAGUCCUGGUUUUUAUUGCAACAAGAACUAUUAUGGAAUUUGGUCGACCGAUAAAAGAUAGUUUCUCUACUGGUAGAGUAUCGUCUUUAGCUAAUAUACGUGCUUUUGAUCGAUCGAGUGCUUAAUUACGUCUGGAAGAUGGUCUCGUUGUGGACGACUAAGGCGCUGAGGAGCGCCUGCUUGAUGGGCCACUCGCUGCGGUAGUAGUCGAUGAUGAACUCGUUGUGCUUGAGGAAGGCCGGGAGCGCGUCGUAGGCUCGUAGCUGACAAGCUCGUACUUGCGAUCGCAGCACCACUUCGCGCCACCGUCGCCGCACUUCCUCCCUCCAGGAGAGAAGAUUUCAAUGUCGCUGCUCUGUCCAUGCCGCAUCGGCGCCGGCGGCGACAACGUCGUCGCCACGGAUUGUGGUCGUCUUCUCUAACUAGUAAUAGUGCACGUGCAUAGCACGUUUUUAUAAUAUAUAUUUUAACAAUAAAAAUACAGGGAAAAAUAGUGCUUGCAAGAGCAUAUUCAUACACUGACUUAAGAAACAUGGCAAGAGUAUGUCCGCACACUGAAUUCAGAUACAUUACAUAUUCACGUUCAGAUAACCUUGAAUGGUAAUAUGAGUAUAUUGUUUACACUAAACCCAGAAAAACCUUACAUCGACCGGUGAAUUUGUAAACUUCCAAUACUUGAGCUAUAAGAAAUUCAUAACAUUAAUUAGCUCACAGCAAACUAAAACAUUGAACAACAUUUAGAUGCUUGCCCAAGUUCAGAUUCUAAAUUCAGAUACUCGUACAUCAUAAGAACAAGUCAUAAACUAAUAUGUCAAAUGCUCAGAAAAUAAUAUAAGAAAUGUUCAAACACUAAUCUGGCAGAUGUUCAGACAUCUAUUUUUCACACAUAUUGCAAGGACAAGAUAAGACUCCAAAUACAGAAAAUGAGAGGUAUAUAUAAAGAAUUUGUCAUCAGCACGGCAGAAAAUAAGACUCCAAAUAAAGAAAAUGAGAGGCACGUUCAGACAUCUAUUGUUUUGUUUCUUUUGAGCACAUAACAUGAGAUGUGAUUGGCAAUUUUUUGCUCCCAGGAAAUUUGUACUGAAAUUAUAAACAUUUGGCAAUCAAACAACAACAAAACCUAAAAAAAACACUCCACGUUUCAAAAGGCUGUCAGGAAUUAACUCAGUACAUAAUCAAUGGUUCACAGGGAAAAUAUGCAUGUUUAUGUUCUGAAUAGAAACAAUACAUUACACUACACAGGUUGGCAUAUAAUGCAACGCCAAUUUCAGACUGUUGUCAACCAAGUUCUUAAGCAAUGCAAGGCCAAGUUCAGACCAUGUAAAACUAAAUUUAAAUUAAUAUAUAAAAGUUGUAUGGCACACAGAGACCAUAAAGCCACCUUAUUUUGGUUGGAGCUACAGCAAAAGUGGCUGGGUAGAUUCAGCUGGCAAAAUGAACUUGUUACAGUAAUUGCUUCAAUGGUAGACAUGGUUUUUGGUUUAACAUGGGACAGAGAAUAACAGUAGUAAAUUAUAACAUUAAAUAAUUUAUGUUUGCAUAGAUGAAUGAACUGCACAGAUUUAAAAGCGCGGGUGUAAGUUUGUGAAUCAAUUUGAGGGAAGUGAAUUGAGUGCUUAAUUUGCAAAUAAAAUUCCUGCAAAAAGAAGAAAAGUAGCAGCUGAAAACCCAUAUCAAAAGAGGAAGGGGUUGGACCAUUUCACUGCUACAAGAAGAUUAAUUAUAUGACUUGCAUAUCGAAACAAAAUAAGUUAAUCCAAGAUAACAAAAGUUUGUAGACUACUGGAGUACUUAUAGAGAAAUAUAAAGUUUGGUAUGCAAAGAGGCCAAGUGCAGAUAUUAAUUUGAGAAACCAUUUAUGUGAUGAACACAGUACACACGUAAACUCAUUCUUUUUUAAUUAAAGACACUAAAAAAUUGCACCUAACAUAGCAUCGCAAACAACCGCAUGUUCUUUAUUGUUGGGGGAUAAUAGCUGUAACAGAUGAUCUUCAGGUAACGAUGAAAAUGUACUGUUUGAUUAUAGAUCCAAAAGUCGAUGGCAUAUUGUAGAACAUGAUAAAGUCAGUGGCAAAUCGUAGACGUGUGACAAAGUCAGUGGUAUAUAAUGGAUUCUCUCAAAUGAGAGAAUGACCACUACAUGUUGGUAUGAAAGACUUGAGAACAGGAAUAUUUCUCUGAGGAAAACACAUCAACUGACUUUCCUGAAAUCACAUGCUGACAUGUUCAUAGUGCACUAUGCGAAAUCACCAUAAUGAUGGUUUCCAUCAAAUUUUGUUAUAUAAAUACAACUUAGUAUUUCUGCCUAAAAAACUGAAAGGCACAUUAAGUUUGAAAAUUCUAAAGGGAUAUAAACUGAAUAAAAUUUUAGCAAGUGACAGGUGCAAGAUAAAAACAUUAGAGGACUGAAACUAAAUUAAAAGAAAAAUAGCAAGACCUGCUGACAUCAACCACAGUUGCAAACCUUAACUUACCUACCAAUGUGAUCUUGCCAAGGAACUACAUGAUUACCUGAUAAUUGAUUGCAUUAAGAUGUGAAUUUGAUUUGGAGCUUCAUCAAAAGACAGUGCAAUGCCCUUGAAUGUAUUCAGCAACCAUGUAGCAGGACAUAGUAUUUCGGAAAAUUCUCAUAGUGUACUACCACGAAAAAAAAUGAAAAUGAGCAAUUAUCAUUUAAUAUUUACAGAAAAAAUAUAUAAAACGUCGUUUAAAUACGGAGGUAUAUAAUUCGUAAGAAAGGAAUAUGAGAAACCGAAUGAAGUAGAAGGUAGGAGAAAAACAUUACCAAUGAGAAUCAUUGUUCAGUCACUCCAAUAUGCACCAGUGAUCCACUCACAUCAAAAUAUUAAGCAGUCCGAAAUUUCUUUCAGUUUUUUCUGCACAUUUAUAUCAACUACUGUAUUAUUAUGUCCCAAGCAUAAUGAACUAUGUGUAAUCUGGAAGACCUGCACAAACAUACAAAACUACCAUGAAGAGAUGGAAGACCUUAUCAAUAUUCAUGAGAGCAGCACCAUAUUUGAAAGCAAGAACAAGCUCAGUGGCACUGAACAUUAUCAACAAAGAGUAAUAAUUAAUUGGUAAAGGCAACUUACAGAAUAGAUUGAUAUUUCAAUAUAGCUGGUAAGCUGGAAUGGUGAACAAUCAUAGCGAGGCUUCAUGUUUCAAGGUAGGCACAAAAUCAAGGUGGGUAACCUGGGCAUAAGUCAAUCACCAACAUUUAUCACCUGCUUAUCGCUGAUCAAACCGUUGCAGUAUUCUGUGACAAGAUCAUUCCCUUGUUAAAUAGAAAGAAGGAAAGAGGAAAGGGCUUCGACAUAGGUGUAUGAGAAAUCUUUGACAAUUCCAAUUCCAUCCCUCUCUCAUUCUAACCUGUGAAUCAUUGGAUUCCACUGCAAGAUUGUUGCGCGUGAGUUCUAUGAUUACAAACUGAACAUCCCAUCUUCAGAUACUGGAGCUGGACAAAGCUCAGAUAAUCAUAUCCUGUUCGUUUAAAAUGUAGCUAACAUACCAUAGCUUUUCAAUAAACGGGCAUUCCUGCACAAAGACAAUGUCGUUAACAAGCCUGAUAUCACAGACAAAUGGUAAGUUAAUUUGGGUAAUCACCCUGACAUAACUUGGGUGAACAUUUAAUACUUUAGUGCUGAAUUUCUUUUAACAAACAUAAAUAUAAAUGGGAAGCAGAAAAUAAAGAAAGAGGAACCAGAAUCUGUUGAUGUUGCGCUAGUUAAUUAGAAGAUCUAAAAAUUGCAACAAAUGAUACUGUAUCGAAUAAUCAAUUGAGCAUUCCAUCCAGCAUCAUCCAUGCCACAUGCAUUUUGUGGGAACAAACACCAGAAGGAACAGAAGCACGUGUGAAGUUAAACGCGAGGAAACCUAAUAAUGUGCUGAACCUGAUCGGUACUCUGUAGCGUUGUGGUAGAGCAUAAUGUCGAAGUGCCGCACCGGCAGUCGGCUCUCUCGAUGAGCGUCUCAAGGAAGCGAGCGGUUCCAGCAGCAGCUACGUUGCCGGCCACGGCAGCUGUGUUGCCAGUGGCGUCGUCUGUUGCGGGUGGCGUCAGGGCUCGACGACGCCACCAGGGAGCAAAGACGUCUACAGUGACAGCGGCAACAACAGCAGGGGCGGGUGUUGCAAGUGAGGGCGACCGGGGCGCGGAGGUCGACGGCUGCAUCGGAGGAGCGGAAUGGCGAUGGGAACGACGAUUGGGACAUGGUGCGAUGUGAAAUUAGGGAUUGUAUUGGAUACGCGAUUGAAUUGGGCAUGGCGACCAGCGAGGAUGACAGGGGUGAUGGAGCUUACGGAGGAUGUUCGCAGCGCCGGCAGCGGCAGGAGUACGCGAUCUUCGGCGAGAGGUCACGCGCAGCGGCGUUACAGGAGCGAGGAGGCGGCGCGGAGGAGAUCCUGAGGCAGCGGUGAGGGGAGGCAGGCGACGCGAGGGAGAGGGGAGAGGGGACUGCGGUGAGUUGAGUGGGACGACGAGAGGGGAGAGGGGAGAGGGGAGUGCGGCGGGUGAGGCGGGCGGCGCGGCGACGUGGCUGGUGAGGCGGGCGGGCGGCGGAGACACGGCUUGGGGAGGGCGAGCGGUGGCGUGGGGAGGGCGGAGCGGUGGCGACGUGCUAUUUUUUUCGGUGUUUAGUUAAGGGAGUCAAAAUGGACCUGUUCCUUCCGAAAAUAAAAAGGAGGAAUAAGUUCACUUUGGGUCCCACACGAUAAAGUGGAUCAGAUUGCAGGAUUGUUGAUGAAACUAGUACUUUAUAUAUUACUAGUAGAAAUGCAGAAUUGCAGUAGUAGAGAUAGAGAUGUCACCGUGGACUAGAGGUGGCCAAACGGGCCGGGCCAAAACGGGCGGCCCGAGGCACGGCGGAACCUGUAGCCGGCACGGCCCGGCACGGCCUGCUACAGUAACGGGCCGUGCCGGCACGGCACGAGUAGCCGUGCCGUGCUUGGGCCGCCGGCCGAGCCCGCGGGCCGGCACGGCACGGCACGGCUACUGUAGUAAGUCCGCAUCUCAUCCUUCCGCAAGUCCGUAUCUCAUCCCUCCCAACUGACGGCCCAGCCCGCUAGCCGCCUCCGCAAGUCCGUUGAGCACCCCUCCUAGCUGAUGGCCCAGCCCGCCAGCCACCUCCGCAAGUCCGCAUCGCAUCCCUCCGCGCCAUUUCGGUUCCUGGGCCAACCGUGCCCCGUCCACGGCCCAUUUUUCAUUCACGGGCCCGUACUGAUGUCACAGCCUGAAUUCCGUUUCAGGAUUUAUAAAUUAUUUAAUAAAUUAUUAAUAGAAUUUAUAUUAAAUGUUCAAUAAUUUACAAGUGAAGUUAAAUGUAGGAAAUAAAAUUUCCUAAAUAUAAAGCAUGGAUGGAUUUAAUUUUUAUUAAAUUCUCCAUGGUUAAUUAUACUCUCUGGAAUUUUCUCGGAUUUUUCGGAGCUCAAUUAUUAAUUUUAAUCAUACAAAGAGAAGUUCAGCAAUUAUUUGAAUAUUAAAUUAAUCAUUAAAUGAUCUAAUUAUAAUUGUUAAGAGUUUUUCUUGUUUAAAAAUCCUUAAAUUAUAAAUUGUUGUUUAAAAGGAAUUAUUAGAAACAAUUUUAAAAGCUUAAAAGAGAAGAUCUAAUUUUAAUUUGCUAAAUCUCAAUAUAAAAUUGGGUUAGAUAAAAUUUUAUUAAAUACUUUGCUUGUUCCUCUAUUUUCUAGAUUUUUCUGGGAAUUGUUUGAGCAAGGAAAGUAUUUUUAAUAAAUGAAACAACAUUUCAUAAAUUAUUUUAAUUGAAAAAGUUCAAAAACCCCUCCUUUAGGUUAUUGGGCCGAUUUCGGCCUAAUACUCUCUCUCUCCCGCGGGCAAGCCGGCCCAAGUCGGCCCAGCUGUCGCCGCCGCUCUCUCUCUCGUGGGACACUGACAUGUGGGGCCCACAUGUCAGGCCUUUCUUCAACCUCCGGCCGAAGCCGUGCCCGAGCCGAGUCCUAGCCGCCUUCUUUCCCCUCUCAAAUUCGCCUCAAUCCGACCCCGAUUCCUCCAGGUUUUUGAGGGGAUUUUAUCCUCUCGUUCUCCUCUAUCUUUUCCCUCAAUAUUUGGAGCAAAUCGUUGUGUAUUUUAUCCGAAUCAAAUUCGUUUUCGAGUUUAUCUCAAAAACCGAGUUUUGAUUUUCUCGGAUCGAUUCCUCUCGUUUGGAGUUCGAUCUCUUCAAUCCAAUGCUAUAAAUAGCAUCCCCUAGUCGUCCUCUUCCGUUUGCCCCAAGUCCCGAGCUCCCUCGUCGCCCGUAGCGCUGCCGCCACGUUGCCCUAGCCGCUAGCCGUCGCCGGCGAUCUCCAGUCGCGCCGCGCCGUCGCCCUAGCCGUCGCCGCCGCUUGCCGCCGCUGCCGUUAGGUGCGCCGUGGUGAGGAGAACCUCGGCCGCACCUUCCCCUUCGCCGCCGGCCACCGGAGCUCCGCCGUCGCCGUCAAGCCGAGCCGCCGCCGCCGUCCUCUUCGUCGCCGGCCGUCGUCGUGCGUCGUUUGUCGUUUUGGUGAGUACCGUUGGGUUCGCCUCGUCGUCCUCUACGCGUAGGUGCCCUCCAAUCGCCCGGCCAAGGUCCAUAGCGCCGGCGAGGUCGUCGGCCGACCUGUGGCUGCCUUGGAUGAUGUCAGCAUGACAUCAUCAUCCUUCCUUUUUUCCUUUUUUUCUAAUAGAUUAAAUCUUCGGAAAAUCAUAACUAAAUAACUGUAGAUCCGUUUCAGGUGGUUCCAGUUGCUAAAUUUUUCUAAAAUAAAGAUCUACAUAUUAAAAUUGUCCAUAAAUUGAAUUAAAUUUAUUUAAUUCUUUUUAAAUGGGCUUUAAUUAGAUUUAAUCUUGUAAAAUUCAUAAUAAAUUCAUUUGAAGUCAGAAUAAGGCUGUUCAAGUCUCAUAAUUCAUCUAAAAUCAUGAUCUACAUGUUUGUUUACUUUAUAUGUAUUGUUUAUUUGGUUUUUAUUAGUUUUUUUUCUUCGUUUUGCGUGUUAGCUUGUCGUUUCCGUCGUUGCGAAGGUUCGUGAGUGCGUCGGAAGUGAUCAAGAAGAUUAAUUGAAGAUCGAUUAUUGCAAGGCAAGUCACACAGAUCCUAAACACAAUCCUUUGAGCAUGUUGAACCCGUUUAAAGCUAUUAUUUUAUUUCAACUAUGCAUUAUUUUUGAAUGUCAUCGGGUGGUGAACCUUUCCCCGUUAAUUAAUGGCCGAAGAUGAUCUUAUUUUCCUAUGGGUUAUAAUUUGAUUAGCAUGAACCUUAUAUAUUGGUUUGGUUCAGCUAAAUGUUAUAUGUAUGUUUGCUUAGCCAUGCUUAGAAACAUUAGCUAAUUAAAGGGGAUUAAAUAUAAAUUAUAUUAUAUUAUUCUUAUUAAUUAUGGUUAUAUUUAAUGGUAGCUCACGAUGGUUAAUCGUGUGAUGUUAAUUAAUUGAUACUUAAAAUCUGGUUAAGGUGGGUUGUGAGCAUAUGGUUUUGAUGGUUGUGCUCAUGACAAUUAAGGACCGGUUCGCGAGCUACUGUUGUGAAACAUUUACCGUGCCAACCACAAGCCAGCAUGGGCAACGGCUUUACCUUUUGUAUAGCAUGAUUCAUUACGGGGCACCAGACUGAGAAGCGGCGAGAAGUCCGUGGGGGUCGCUGGGGAGUCCAUGCCUUGUUUAUAAGGGGGUGAUUAUGAUCCAGGAACGGUGCACUGUUUUGAGUUGUGUUGUGCAAAGGGUAUUGUCACGAUUUCCCCCUUUGCAAUGCCGUGGUGGUAUUUCGGGGCAUGGCAACAUGUGUGGAAUCGUGUCUUGUGGGUACAGUGGUACACCUCUGAUCAGAGUAAAACUAUUCGAAUAGCCGUGCCCGCGGUUAUGGGCGAGUUGAGCAAUGUUUUUCGUGAUUAGUCUCACACCUCUCACAAUAAUUAUGGAUGCUAUAACUGGUAAUAAUUUGCUUAGCUCCUGGUUUGGAGUUAGAUCUGUACAGCCGGGUAUGGUUGUUCAGGAUGGUUGGGCCUGUGCAGCAUGGGUGUGCUGUUCAGUGUUGAUUAAAAUUGAUGAUUAAUCACUUCACUGUUUUACUUCUCUUAAAUGUUUUGCUAAAUGCUGCUUUUGCAAAUGAGCCUAUAUUAUGCCAUCCUUUGGAAUCCUUGUGCACUUGCAUAUUUGCUGUGUGGCUUGUUGAGUAUGUCAUAUGCUCAUUCUUGCAAUAAUCAUCAAACCUCAGUUGAAGAUAAAGGAUCCAGAAGGAGAAGACGUUUGGCUUAUACCCCAGUUGAGCUGCCUGUGGGAGUGGAGCUGAAGCCAUCGCUAGACCGUUAAUUCCGCUGUUGUUUUCUUUUCUUUGUAAGUAUGUAACGUUAUUAUUAAGAUGGAUUUGUAUAUUAAAUUGUCAGUUUGUGUACCUCGGCUGAUUCCUGGACGAGGAUUUUAUGCACAAAUUAGUUCGGAAAUUACUAGUGAAUUUCCGGGCGUGACAACUGACACGGCGGGCCACACGCAUGCCGUGCCGGCACGGGCACGGCCCGGCCAUCCACGGGCCGUGCUUGGGCCGGCGGCUCGGCACGUGGGUCGGGACGGCACGGCCCGUUUCAUGAGCCGUGCCUAACAGGCCGUGCCGAAACGGGCCGUGCCGGACCCGUGCCCGUGCCGUGCCGGGCCGGGCCGCCCGUUUGGCCACCUCUACCGUGGACGAAGCCAUCUUGGGUGCUGAAAGGAGAGGGAAAGUAAUGGAAAAGAUAGACUGUGACACUGAUGUGUGGGCCCUACAUAAUGACUUAGCAGGUUAGACAAGUCUAAGCAUCACAUCAGCGAAACUGCUCUCUAGAAUCAUCAAGGGAGUCAAAUUGCACCGGUUUUAACAGUUAAGGUCAAGAUAUCCGGUAUUACGGUUUAGGGAUAUGAAUCAGAUUUAAGCUAUAGUUAAGGGAGUCAAAAUGGACCUAUUCCUUCCGAAAAUAAAAAGGAGGAAUAAGUUCACUUUGGGUCCCUCUAUUUGUCGCCAAAUCCGAUUUUCAUCCCCUAUUCACAAAACCGGUACGAUGGGUCCCCCAACCUAACGAAACCGUUUAAAUAAAGUCCCUCGGUGGUAUUGUACCCGUUUUUGGCUGAGAUGGCGCCUACAUAGCUCCUUUUGACCAGGUCUUUGUCCAACGUAUCGUUGACGUGGUGCUUAUGUAGCAAUUAGAUCGGAAAAAAAUAAAAUACGUGGGACCCACAUGUUAGUUUCACACACAAAUAAGUAAAAAAUGGUGGGCCCAUGUGGAUACUCUCUAUCCUCUCUCUCCCUAAUCUCUCUCCGGCCGAUGGAGCGGGGUCGGCGGCUCUUGCCGACGCCGGAGUCCCCGAUGAACAGGUUCUUGAAGCCGCACUCGUGCCCACCACCACCGCUGCUCCCCGCCCCCGGCGACCCCGGCAGCGCCGCCCACAACGCCGGCCAUUGGUCGAAAGUUCCCCAUUCCAAAACCCCAAUCGCGUCGAAUUGAGUGUAGCCGUGGACGGUGUGGGCGCGGCGUCCAGGCUAGGCGGCGAGCCUCUGCAGACUGCAGACCGGCGCGGCGGUGCUCGCAUGCUCCUAGUGCCGCAGUGCCACCUGGCCUACACGGUUGCGCGCCUGCGCGCAACAGCCCAGCUCUAAGCCGAGCAGGCAGCAACACCAACGAGUUAGCAAGGGCAAGGCAGCAAAGUAACUAGCCCGAUUCAACACAAAUUUUUUUGAAGUGAAACGAUUCAGCACAAAUGGAUAGAUAGGGGAAAGAAAAGGCUUUGGCAUCAUAAAAGUGUAACAUUUCUUGAGUAUUUGACAAAUGAUAAGUGAAAACAUUGCAAUUUGUAAAAGUAUAAUGCACAAUUUGUCAUUGAUUCACAUGUCUGUAAUUUUGCUUGUAGAUUUGAAGAGCUAUUUCACCAGGUAGUCGAGCAGUAUGCUUUCAUUCCACAGCGCGGCCGGGGGGGGGGGGGGGAGUCGCACGACCUCGUCGACGCUGUCAUCGGCGGGCCCAACAGCAACGACGUGUUCGUCGACCACCGCAACGCGUACAUGCAGACGGAGGCCUGCACGUACAACACGGCGCCCAUGGUCGGCGUCUUCUCCAAGCUCAUGGAGGUCGAAGUGGAGCGCGGGCUUGUGCCCGCUCCGCUUCGUCGCCGGCGACGAGCAGGCCGACCUCAAGGCCCUGGUCGCCAACGGCAACGCCAACAUCAAGGUGGACGCCGGCACGCACCCGCAGACGGCCGCGGGCCACGGGCGGCUCCUCUGCUCCCAACGGUCGGCGCCCCACGCCCCUCCGGCCACCGCCGCGCCGCGACUUCUCCCCCGCCGGCCGGCGCGCCGCUUCGCUCCUCGGCUCCGCCCCGCCAUCGCCCGCUCCGGCCGCCGCCCACCCCGCUCCGUCGGCUGGAGAGAGAGAAGAGGGAGAGAGAGGAUAGAGAGAAGAGGUUAGUGAGGAUGACGUGUGGUCCACAUGGGUCCACUGCUGGCACGCCUCCGUCGACACCGUGAACCCCGGCGGCACCGACAGCCCGAUGCCCGUCCUCACCUUAAUUUUUACACAGGAGAAUGUUAUAUUAUGAUCAGGACAGGAGAAUAUGUUGAUCUUAUAGCUUCCAAAUUGAGCUAUAGAGAGUUAGACUGGAGAUAAAUUCAAUAUCAAAGGUGAGUACCAGAAUGACAGAUUUUCCUUGUGCAUGCCAUGCUUCAGCAUCGUCAGCUGUGAAGACAAUCUGGCCUACAGCAGCUCCUGGUGAUGCAGGCAAGCCUGUAGCAAUAACUUUGUCUCCAUAUGACGACAGGCUCUCAAACUAGUUUAACAAGGGCAGAGCAAAGAGUACAGAUUAGAUAGCCAUCAGUUUGAUUGUCGUUACAAAUCGUACUGAAGCGUAACAAAAAGCAACAACCUUCAGGCUCAUUGGUUUAGAGGAAAACAUAUAAACAUACAC
This 21715-nucleotide long non-coding RNA is filed under the name Oryza sativa (Asian cultivated rice). Its description in RNAcentral is "long non-coding RNA (OSAT_LNC000574)". The record is from RNAcentral. Lineage: Eukaryota; Viridiplantae; Streptophyta; Magnoliopsida; Poales; Poaceae.